RNAcentral lists this ribosomal RNA (253 nucleotides) under uncultured bacterium. Its description in RNAcentral is "partial 16S ribosomal RNA". It matches the Rfam family "Bacterial small subunit ribosomal RNA", at positions 524 to 776 of the family's 1533-position model. The record is from RNAcentral.
UACGUAGGGUGCAAGCGUUAAUCGGAAUUACUGGGCGUAAAGCGUGCGCAGGCGGUUUUGUAAGUCUGACGUGAAAUCCCCGGGCUCAACCUGCGAAUUGCGUUGGAGACUGCAAGGCUAGAAUCUGGCAGAGGGGGGUAGAAUUCCACGUGUAGCAGUGAAAUGCGUAGAGAUGUGGAGGAACACCGAUGGCGAAGGCAGCCCCCUGGGUCAAGAUUGACGCUCAUGCACGAAAGCGUGGGGAGCAAACAGG